Regulatory RNA element from Sulfitobacter donghicola, 90 nucleotides. It matches the Rfam family "Rhodo-rpoB RNA". The record is from Rfam. NCBI's taxonomy places the organism in Bacteria, Pseudomonadati, Pseudomonadota, Alphaproteobacteria, Rhodobacterales, Roseobacteraceae.
UGGUCGGGAGGGGUACGGUGGGACGUACUCCAGCAUAGACCGGACUUAGCCGCUCUUAUGGGUGUGCAUCGCGGCCCCGGCGAUGGCGCA